RNAcentral lists this small nuclear RNA (131 nucleotides) under Oesophagostomum dentatum (nodular worm). Its description in RNAcentral is "U4 spliceosomal RNA". The stretch from base 1 to 64 matches the Rfam family "U4 spliceosomal RNA". The record is from Rfam by way of RNAcentral. Lineage: Eukaryota; Metazoa; Nematoda; Chromadorea; Rhabditida; Strongylidae.
AGCUUUGCGCAGAGGCGAUAACGUGACCAAUGAGGCUCUGCCGAGGUGCGUUUAUUGCUGGUUUUUAUUUCAGUCUAAGCAGCACCCAGCUGACAGCGAAAUUACGGACGUGCUGCUAGAGUUUGUUAACU